UGUCCAGUAACUCCUAUCCCUAACCCCCGUGGUGCCGCCUGGGAUACGAGUAACCUAAGGAAAGGUCGGGUAACCAACCCCGGUGGGACCUUGGUCGUAUGCUGACAGGGAAGG
Molecule: ribozyme, 114 nt
Filed under: Aedes aegypti (yellow fever mosquito)
Lineage: Eukaryota; Metazoa; Arthropoda; Insecta; Diptera; Culicidae
Description: drz-agam-1 ribozyme
Rfam family: drz-agam-1 ribozyme
Source: Rfam by way of RNAcentral